Pipistrellus kuhlii (Kuhl's pipistrelle) is the source of this 308-nucleotide long non-coding RNA. RefSeq lists it as uncharacterized. Lineage: Eukaryota; Metazoa; Chordata; Mammalia; Chiroptera; Vespertilionidae. The record is from RefSeq and is a predicted model, not a curated record. The transcript has 3 exons.
UACUGCUUCAAAAUAGUCUAACCCAAGCCGAAAACCGACUUUUGCGCCUGGGCCACGAGGUUUCAAUCACAUUGUAUGUGCGUGCCCGCAUGUGGUAUUUUGUGGAAGAGCCACACUCAAGGGGCCAAAGAGCUGCAGUUUGCCAACCACUGGGUUAGAUAAUUGUAUGCUUUACAUAGUGUUCCCCUCAAUAUUUCCAGCACCCCAACUGGCACCACACAUAGUUAUCGCAAUGUUAUUGGCUAUAUUCUCUGUGCUGUACUUUACGCCCCUGUGACUGUUUUGUAAUUACCAAUGUGUGCUUCUUA